UGAACCUCAGCCAUUCUCGCUCUUUUGGGUUAAACUUCAAGGCGGAAGAGGGUUAUGUCCGUGUGCUACGCUUGGAGUGGACCUGAGCACCGAGUGAAGCUGAGGGGGUCGCCCAAACCCGUAGGCCGGCGUAGCCCCGGGGCCAGCCUCGGCCUGAGCGCCAUCGUGGUCCUCGGCACUGUAACAUGCUCCUUUCGCGCUCCCCUCCCCAGUUCCGGCGGGGAAGUCCGAACCUCCAGACCUGCAGCUCCCUACAGUGCCGUUGGUGGGCUGGUUGGAGACCUUGAAUGUGAACCAGCGUCAGUCAGUCCAGGUGCCUGGUGGUAAGUAAGGCUGGAGCAGUCCUGUGAGAAGCAAAUCAUCUUUUCAUACAUCUUUCAUCCCAAGAUGUAACCCAGACAUGGUGUGACUUAACCUGAGACUAACAGUCCACAUCUACCCGAAGUGCUUAGCAAUAAAGCAAACGUGGUAUGAGUUGA
Long non-coding RNA from Myotis myotis, 479 nucleotides. RefSeq lists it as uncharacterized. NCBI's taxonomy places the organism in Eukaryota, Metazoa, Chordata, Mammalia, Chiroptera, Vespertilionidae. The record is from RefSeq and is a predicted model, not a curated record. The transcript has 2 exons.